This 117-nucleotide non-coding RNA is filed under the name Pan troglodytes (chimpanzee). The record is from Rfam by way of RNAcentral. Lineage: Eukaryota; Metazoa; Chordata; Mammalia; Primates; Hominidae.
GCCGGGCGUGAUGGCUCAUGCCUGUAAUCCCAGCACUUUGGGAGGCCGAGGCAGGUGGAUCACCUGAGGUCAGGAGUUCAAGACCAGCCUGGCCAACAUGGUGAAACCCCGUCUCUA